GCCUUCGUGGUGUAGUGGUCAGCACGCUCGACGCGUAACCGAGAGGUCCGUGUUUCGAAUCCCGCCGAAGGCG
This 73-nucleotide transfer RNA is filed under the name Stegodyphus mimosarum. It matches the Rfam family "tRNA". From Rfam's summary of the family: Transfer RNA (tRNA) molecules are approximately 80 nucleotides in length. Their secondary structure includes four short double-helical elements and three loops (D, anti-codon, and T loops). Further hydrogen bonds mediate the characteristic L-shaped molecular structure. tRNAs have two regions of fundamental functional importance: the anti-codon, which is responsible for specific mRNA codon recognition, and the 3' end, to which the tRNAs corresponding amino acid is attached (by aminoacyl-tRNA synthetases). tRNAs cope with the degeneracy of the genetic code in two manners: having more than one tRNA (with a specific anti-codon) for a particular amino acid; and 'wobble' base-pairing, i.e. permitting non-standard base-pairing at the 3rd anti-codon position. Lineage: Eukaryota; Metazoa; Arthropoda; Arachnida; Araneae; Eresidae. The record is from Rfam by way of RNAcentral.